This is a long non-coding RNA of Papaver somniferum (opium poppy), 1965 nucleotides long. RefSeq lists it as uncharacterized. The transcript has 11 exons. The record is from RefSeq and is a predicted model, not a curated record. Lineage: Eukaryota; Viridiplantae; Streptophyta; Magnoliopsida; Ranunculales; Papaveraceae.
UUAUCAUUCUAAGUUCUAAUCUAGUCGCCUCUCUCUUCUCUCCGUCUUCUUCGUCUCUUCCCCCAAACAAGAAACAGAAAAAAUCAGAACAGAGAUGUCGAUUAAAUCAUCUCUCAAAAGCUACACCGUAAUCAUUCUCUUCAUAUUUUCCCCACCUCUAACAUCAUUUUUGUUCUCUAUCACCUUUCACAGCGAAACUCACAGGAUGUUAGUCGUGGGAGAUUUUGAUGUAUUUCUAGGGAAUUGGCAAAUCCCCUGUUAUGUUUGUCGUGGGGGAGUUUGUCAAAAUCUUUUAAAAUUUCUGUUAGUGGUGAGAGAUUUUUAGGGAGUUUCUAUAAAUACCUCCAAAUCUCUUAAACUCCAUGUUAGUGAUGAGAGAUUUGAAUAAAAUCUCUUAAACUCCUUGUUAGUCGUAAAACACUAGAAGUUUAGGGAAUUUACAAUUUGGGGGAUUUUGAUAGAGUUCAAUGAUGUUUUUGUAUGAUGUUUUUGUGCUUACCAAAUCUCUCAAAAAACAAGAGAUUUCUGGGGAGUUAGGAUUGAACUCCCCAAAAUUAUCUAGACUCUCAUACACUCCCUCUAAAUCCCUGGAGAUUUAAAUACAUUAAAAUCUCUCAAACUCUCUCACGACUAACCCCUGUCAAUAUCCUUUUUUUUUCUUCCCUACAAUGGCUGCAAAGAUGAAGUCAUAAACGAGAAGCACCCACCGCCUUUGGAUGAAGACGAUAUUAAAUUAUUCAGAUCUAUAGAUUGGGUUUAUACCCAAAUAAGACUGAGAAGGAGAUUGAGGAGAUGUCUUUGAUUCUGCUGGAAGUAUGGCACUGAACUGGAACUUUGGAUGUGAAAACAAGGGAUGGAGGACCUUUUGGAAAGGAGAUGGCUUUGAUUCUACUGGAAGUAUGGCACUCAGCUGGAACUUUUGAUAUGAAAACAAGGACUGGAGGACCUUUUGGAACCAUGAAACAUGCUGAAGAGCUAGCUGAUGCAGCUAAUAAUAGAUAAGAUACUGCUACUAGGUUAUUGGAACCAAUUGAAAAGCAAUUUCUUACCGUAGUUACGCUGAUUUCAUUCAGUUGGAUUGGAUGGAGCUGUAGCUGUCGAAGUAAAACAGGGGCCAGUCAGCUUGGAUGAGACGUGGUUAUGGAAUACUUACACUCCACAAGGAGAACCGAUCGCAGUGCGCUGCUGAAAAGAUCUUGAACAAUCAUAUCUUUGAGAAGGAAGCUUCAUGGUAUGGAGUUGAGAAAGAGGUACACCCUCUUGCAGACCUAUGUUAACAUCAACAAGGUUGAUGUCUACAGCUUCAAUAUUGGUUUAUUGGAGUUAUUGACUAAAUGAAUGCCAUUUGAGGGCAUGACCAACUUGCAGGCUGCUUAUGAUGCUGCAUUUAAGGUGUCAUUUCAAGUUGCAGAUGCACUCGAGCAACCAUUUCAAGAUGGACAGUUUGAUCUUCUUUGGUCCAUUGAAAGUGGAGAACACAUGCAUGACAAAGCCAAGGAACUAGCACUAGCUGAAUGUGCAGAUGAUGAAUAUUCGGAUGGGGAUGCUUAGGAACUAGCUGAAUGUGGGUUGUAGAUAUUCAAUCACAAUGUUUUUUCGAGUUUGAUACCUUCAUGGACGCCGACACUUUGUUCCCGAUGAUCUCAUGAGGCUAACUGAUGUCUUGGUUGAUGGUAAGAUCGUUGUUCCUGAUGGAUGUAGAAAUGGUUGAAAGGGUUGUGCGUCUACAGUUCUGCUCUCACGCAAGCUAGUUCCAAGAUCCUAAUGACUGAAAUUGUUGUUGAAAUUCUCAGGACUUGUACCACUUAAGAAACCUUAAUAAUUAUAAGUUUUUUUUAAAGAUUUUGCACUAAAUUUAUGAGUACAGUUCAAUGUAAUUGAGCUGUCAUUUGGUGUCAUUUGGUAUUAGACGAAUCUGUUUCUAUAUGGAAUUUGAAUUUCACUUGAAUUUCAGAACUUGAGUAA